CCUACGGGAGGCAGCAGUGGGGAAUUUUUCGCAAUGGGGGCAACCCUGACGAAGCAAUGCCGCGUGGAUGAAGAAGGCCUUCGGGUUGUAAAGUCCUUUCGUGGGGGACGAAAAGGCGGACCCGAAUACGGUCUGCUAUUGACGUGAACCCAAGAAGAAGCACCGGCUAACUCCGUGCCAGCAGCCGCGGUAAUACGGAGGGUGCGAGCGUUAAUCGGAAUUACUGGGCGUAAAGGGCGCGUAGGCGGUGGGUUACGUCUGCCGUGAAAUCCCCGGGCUCAACCUGGGAAUGGCGGUGGGAACGGGCUGACUGGAGUAUGGGAGAGGGUGAUGGAAUUCCAGGUGUAGCGGUGAAAUGCGUAGAGAUCUGGAGGAACACCAGUGGCGAAGGCGGUCACCUGGCCCAAUACUGACGCUGAGGCGCGAAAGCGUGGGGAGCAAACAGGAUUAGAUACCUGGUAGUCCACGCCCUAAACGAUGGACACUGGAUGUUUGGCGCCUUAGGUGCUGAGUGUCGUAACUAACCGAUAAGUAUCCCGCCUUGGGAAGUACGGCGCAAGGGUUAAAACUCAAAGGAAUUUGACGG
Molecule: ribosomal RNA, 586 nt
Filed under: uncultured bacterium
Lineage: Bacteria
Description: bacterial SSU rRNA
Rfam family: Bacterial small subunit ribosomal RNA
Source: RNAcentral